RNAcentral lists this transfer RNA (72 nucleotides) under Podarcis lilfordi (Lilford's wall lizard). It matches the Rfam family "tRNA". Rfam says of the family: Transfer RNA (tRNA) molecules are approximately 80 nucleotides in length. Their secondary structure includes four short double-helical elements and three loops (D, anti-codon, and T loops). Lineage: Eukaryota; Metazoa; Chordata; Lepidosauria; Squamata; Lacertidae. The record is from Rfam by way of RNAcentral.
AUGUUGGUGGUAUAGUGGUUAACAUAGCUGCCUUCCAAGCAGUUGACCCGGGUUCGAUUGAUGGCCAAUGCA